AGUGAACGCUGGCGGUAGGCCUAACACAUGCAAGUCGAACGGCAGCACAGUAAGAGCUAGCUCUUACGGGUGGCGAGUGGCGGACGGGUGAGGAAUACAUCGUAAUCUACUUUUUCGUGGGGGAUAACGUAGGGAAACUUACGCUAAUACCGCAUACGACCUACGGGUGAAAGCAGGGGAUCUUCGGACCUUGCGCGAUUGAAUGAGCCGAUGUCGGAUUAGCUAGUUGGCGGGGUAAAGGCCCACCAAGGCGACGAUCCGUAGCUGGUCUGAGAGGAUGAUCAGCCACACUGGAACUGAGACACGGUCCAGACUCCUACGGGAGGCAGCAGCGGGGAAUAUUGGAUAAUGGGCGCAAGCCUGAUCCAGCCAUACCGCGUGGGUGAAGAAGGCCUUCGGGUUGUAAAGCCCUUUUGUUGGGAAAGAAAAGCAGCAGGUUAAUACCACGCUGUUCUGACGGUACCCAAAGAAUAAGCACCGGCUAACUUCGUG
RNAcentral lists this ribosomal RNA (492 nucleotides) under uncultured bacterium. RNAcentral describes it as "partial 16S ribosomal RNA". It matches the Rfam family "Bacterial small subunit ribosomal RNA", at positions 29 to 507 of the family's 1533-position model. The record is from RNAcentral.